This 253-nucleotide ribosomal RNA is filed under the name uncultured bacterium. RNAcentral describes it as "partial 16S ribosomal RNA". It matches the Rfam family "Bacterial small subunit ribosomal RNA", at positions 524 to 776 of the family's 1533-position model. The record is from RNAcentral.
UACGGGGGGGGCAAGCGUUGUUCGGAAUUACUGGGCGUAAAGCGUGCGUAGGUGGUUCGUUAAGUCCGAUGUGAAAGCCCUGGGCUCAACCUGGGAAUGGCAUGGGAUACUGGCGGGCUAGAGUGCGGUAGAGGGCAGUGGAAUUCCCGGUGUAGCAGUGAAAUGCGUAGAGAUCGGGAGGAACAUCUGUGGCGAAGGCGACUGCCUGGACCAGCACUGACACUGAGGCACGAAAGCGUGGGGAGCAAACAGG